RNAcentral lists this ribosomal RNA (49 nucleotides) under Phlebia radiata. RNAcentral's name for it is "partial 25S ribosomal RNA". Lineage: Eukaryota; Fungi; Basidiomycota; Agaricomycetes; Polyporales; Meruliaceae. RNAcentral also lists the same sequence under 2 other names. The record is from RNAcentral.
CUGACCUCAAAUCAGGUAGGACUACCCGCUGAACUUAAGCAUAUCAAUA